This 475-nucleotide ribosomal RNA is filed under the name uncultured Caldilineaceae bacterium. RNAcentral's name for it is "bacterial SSU rRNA". It matches the Rfam family "Bacterial small subunit ribosomal RNA", at positions 28 to 505 of the family's 1533-position model. Lineage: Bacteria; Bacillati; Chloroflexota; Caldilineae; Caldilineales; Caldilineaceae. The record is from RNAcentral.
GAUGAACGCUGGCGGCGUGCCUAACACAUGCAAGUCGAACGUGAAGGUCGAGAUGAUUACUUCGGUUUGAUUCUUGGCUGGAAAGUGGCGAACGGGUGAGUAACACGUAGGUAACCUGCCUCGAAGUGGGGGACAACCAUUGGAAACGGUGGCUAAUACCGCAUAGUCCCAUUUUUGUGAGAACAUGAAUGGGUAAAACUCCGGUGCUUCGAGAGGGGCCUGCGUCCGAUUAGCUAGUUGGUGGGGUAAAAGCCCACCAAGGCGACGAUCGGUAGCUGGUCUGAGAGGACGAUCAGUCACACGGGAACUGAGACACGGUCCCGACUCCUACGGGGGGCAGCAGUGAGGAAUAUUGCACAAUGGGGGGAACCCUGAUGCAGCAACGCCGCGUGGAGGAUGAAGGCUUCGGUCGUAAACUCCUUUUCUGGGGGAAGAGAGAGGACGGUACCCCAGGAAUAAGUCACGGCUAACUACG